UACGUAGGUGGCAAGCGUUAUCCGGAUUUAUUGGGUGUAAAGGGCGUGUAGGCGGGAGCGCAAGUCAGAUGUGAAAACUCAGGGCUCAACCCUGAGCCUGCAUUUGAAACUGUGUUUCUUGAGUGCCGGAGAGGCAAUCGGAAUUCCGUGUGUAGCGGUGAAAUGCGUAGAUAUACGGAGGAACACCAGUGGCGAAGGCGGAUUGCUGGACAGUAACUGACGCUGAGGCGCGAAAGCGUGGGGAGCAAACAGG
This 253-nucleotide ribosomal RNA is filed under the name uncultured bacterium. Its description in RNAcentral is "partial 16S ribosomal RNA". It matches the Rfam family "Bacterial small subunit ribosomal RNA", at positions 524 to 776 of the family's 1533-position model. The record is from RNAcentral.